Molecule: ribosomal RNA, 396 nt
Filed under: uncultured bacterium
Lineage: Bacteria
Description: partial 16S ribosomal RNA
Rfam family: Bacterial small subunit ribosomal RNA
Source: RNAcentral
AUACGUAGGGAGCGAGCGUUGUCCGGAAUUACUGGGCGUAAAGGGAGCGUAGGCGGGAGUGCAAGUCAGAUGUGAAAUACAUGGGCUCAACCCAUGGGCUGCAUUUGAAACUGCAUUUCUUGAGUGAAGUAGAGGUAAGCGGAAUUCCUGGUGUCGCGGUGAAAUGCGUAGGUAUUAGGAGGAACACCGGUGGCGAAGGCGGCUUACUGGGCUUGUACUGACGCUGAGGGUCGAAAGCGUGGGGAGCAAACAGGAUUAGAUACCCUGGUAGUCCACGCUGUAAACGAUGAUUACUAGGUGUGGGGGGACUGACCCCUUCCGUGCCGCAGUUAACACAAUAAGUAAUCCACCUGGGGAGUACGGCCGCAAGAUUGAAACUCAAAUGAAUUGGCGGGG